This is a long non-coding RNA of Musa acuminata AAA Group (dessert banana), 9174 nucleotides long. RefSeq lists it as uncharacterized. The transcript is spliced from 2 exons. The record is from RefSeq and is a predicted model, not a curated record. Lineage: Eukaryota; Viridiplantae; Streptophyta; Magnoliopsida; Zingiberales; Musaceae.
UUGAGAAUCGACCACCUUCACUGCGCUGCGUUGACGAACUCCAAGAACGAAGGAGGAAUUCAGCAGGCUUGUAGGCCGUAGAUGAUGCCGCGAUGGCAGGCCACCUUGGCGUCUUGGUCGUCGAAGAACGUCUGCUUCAUCUUCAGAUAGACUUGGCAGGUCACCAAGCUAUCUGAUCCAGCUUGAUGCGACUUCCCAGCUUGGCGUGGCACCCCGAGGGUACUCGCCACUUUCUCCAGCCCGCCGGAGAGACCCUUGCAGCCGCGCAUCAUGUGCUUGAGAUCCACAGUCUCUCCGAAGAGCAAGUUCACCAGGCCGAGGAACUCGUCCAGGGUGUUGGGCAGAGGCCGGCCGAACCCCAGCACCUUGAUGAGAUAGGCGAAGUCGUAGCAGCUGUGAAAGGCGAUCCAUCGAGUAGAGUGCGGGCGGCAGAAACGGCAAUGAGCGACGAGGGUGGAACGAUGGAGGUGGGCGGCGAACUGGCCGGAGUCAAUGCCGUAGAGGGGGAGCCGGUCGAAGUCGAUGCCACUGGAGCGGAGCAGGUCGACGGAGUCCGGCGCGUGGGGGUCGCAUCGGACAUCGAAUUCCCGGAAGUUGAACUCCCACACGAACCCGACCCUGCCGCCGGUGCCGAUGUCGGGGAGGUCGCCGAAGGCGUCGAAGAGGGUGAGGCCGAGUUGGACGAGCUCCAUCUUGUCGACGUUGGCCUUGAGGAAGGCGUAGCGCAGGCUGGGCGGGAGAAGACGGUGUGGCCUCCGAGUUCUGUAGAGGAAGCCGGGAAACUCCGUGUCGAAGGCGACGUAAGAGAAGCGAUCCACGAGGGAAGCAAUGAUGGAGAACUCGUACUCCAAGUUCCACGCCCAAACCGAGCGCACCACCAAAUGUUGCCGCCCUCCUCCUCCUCCUCCUCGUUGCGAAGACAUCUUUCCACGCGACGAGACAACAGUGUGGAGCGAAGAAGAGUGUCGGAGAGGAGUGAUGCGUGACAAGUCCAAAGGUCACGUCCUUAUAUAACAGGCAGACUGUCCGAACCCCAGUUCGAUUCGGAUUCCUAUCCGAAUCGAGCUAUAAUCCUAAUCCAAGAAGGAAAGAUGCGGGCGUUAAGCCCCAGCUCGAUCCGAUGUCUCUCGGAAUCCUAGUCCGAUUCUAACGAUCCAAGGUAUCUUCGUUCGAAGUACGUCUCCACAUUUGUGGGCCUUAACUCGGCCCAUCCUGCUACGGUCUCGGCCUUCUAUCAAGUAUGUACUACCGCUGCCUUCGUCGCUUGAAGCUCCACGACGGCACACCCCGCGGAGAUGGGAGACCCCGGAGCGGCAUCGAGGAGGAAGAACCGAUUACCGAAGGGGGGCAGCGAAUCUUCCGAUCUCCACGCCGCCGCGAGGAACGGGGACCUCACCACGGUCGAGUCCAUCUGCAACGCUAAUCCCCUCGCCGUCAAUACUCGAGAUCGCCAUUCCCGGACACCGUAUCCUUUCUCCCUUGUUCUCCUUUCCUCAAUCUUCGCUUUUGUUGUCGUUAUCAUGUGGUGGGCUCUUCGCUUGGUUCAGAAUCUGUCGAGCGAGCAGCUUAUUGCGCCGCCGAGAGUUUGGCACUGAGGUUUAAGGUUCCCUUAGGGUUUUUGAGCUUUAACCUACUUGGCUGGUUCAUUUAAAUUCCUUUGCUAGGAUUCGCAUUGCUGUCUGAUUUGGUGCAUUAUUUGUGACUAGCUGGCCCUUCUGAGUCUUAGGUCUUAAAUAUCAACUCGAUUCCUUUGAAAAGAGAAUGAAGAAAAGGAUAUAGAUGAUGAAACUAUCUAUCGAUGGAGGAUGACUGUGGCAAUGAUUUGCAGAAAUGAUACAUUCGGAUUCAUCCACACUGACACUCUUCGGUAUAAGAACUUCCACAUAACUUGUGGGUGGAAUUGUGUUGCUUCGAUACUUAGAUUUAAUAUUGGAAAUGUUCAUUACGAAGCUGAGAAAUUGUUGCUGUUGACAAUUUAAACAUCUCUUUUCUGUCAAUUUAUGUUAUGAGUUUUUGGGUAUUAAAAAUUUUAAACAUCCAACAAGUGCUUUACUUUUCAAGAUCUCGAUAUCGGGUAAGUAAAUUAAUAAAAAUUAUUCAAUAUCUUGAACCUCCAUAUGGUCGAAAAAGGGAUACAUCAUAGUUUUUCUUACUAAACCUGUUGUCAUCUUAGAAAGUUGCAAGUCAUAGGGUACAAACUCAACUUUUUGGAUAUUUCUUGUUAACACACAGAGACAGUUGACUAGUGAGUUGGCCCGAUUAGUUAUAUGUCCAAAGUGUAGGUCCCUUCUGCUGGCUUGCCUUCUAGUCGCGCCUCCUAGCUACGCUGACGACCUUGCACAAUAGGCUUGUGCCGAGGGUGUCUCAGGUCGACCCCUCCGAUGCUUAAGUUAGUGAAAGAUGGAUAGGGAGGAAGACAAUAGUGAGAGUAGUGUAAAUGAGAGAAUAGGCGGUUUUUGCCUGCCUCCUUUUGUCUAGGUAUAGGUCUUGGCUUUUAUACCUACUCAUUGAGUGGUCUAGACGUGUGCUAGCCAAGGCCUCCCUUACUAUGUAUGGUGGAGGCAUUAAUAAGGAUGGCUUGUUGGUGCGGACCAUUGGGACGCCUUUGGGCUGACUCCCCUGCCACUUUAGGUUAGGCAGGGAGUGAGCCCUCCAUCGGUCAUCCGAAGGGGAAGGCUGGUGAAAUCGGGCCAUUCUGUCAAUCAUUAAUACGGAGGCUUGGCUUCUGCUGAGAUGUCAGCCAGUAGGCGACUAGGGAAGCAUGGGGCAUGCUGCCAGUCAUUAAUGCAGAGGCAUGGCUUCUGUUGAGAUGUCAGCUAGGAGGCGGUUGGGAAGCUCGGGCAUGCUGCCAACCAUUAAUACGGGGCAUGGUUUCUUUAGUUGCGGUAUCGGUAAGGAGUGGGUCUUGUGUGCCCACUUUGGGAAGCUAGGACAGUAGGGCAGAUCCCUACCGGCGGUUGGGUGGAGUUGGUUGUUUCCUACAUUUGGCUUUGGUGGCGUUGUUGGCCUAGGUGGCGAGGUGAGCUGGCAAUGCCAAACUUUUUUGUAUCGUUUGCCCCCCUUGGAAGGUGUGCUUCGGGACACUACAAAGGGGCCUUGAAUUUUGUCAUUUUACUUAUACUACUACAUGCUUGCGUGAGUGUUGUUUUUGCUGUGAGAUCCUUAUUAAGGCUGUGAUGGUUGGUGCGAGAUCCAUCGAGGCGGAUGACACUCUUUUGUAGGGGCAAAUGUAGGAGUGACGAAUGUUGACCUAAGUGAAUCCUUUCUUUUUUCCUUCCCUCUCUCUCUUUGUUCUCCCCCUUUGGCACGGUAGUUCACUCUCUCUCAUUUUUUGAUCUCCCCCUUCUGCUUUGGGAGGUUUCCCUCUCUGUUUUUCCCUCCCCCUACUGUCCGGAAGGUUGGGUCUUCUUUUGGGCUUGUCCCUUCUUCUGCUUCUUGGGCAGGUACUCGACCAACAGGGUGUGAGUGUGUUGGCUCGAUCGUAUGAGCGGGAGGAUCAGUAUCAAUCCGUCAUAGCGGGAGUAUUUGUUGGGAAAUCUUGGGGGGCGACAUCACAUGCGUAGCGGAAGAACAGAAAACAAAAUCCCCAAUUCCUAAAGAUGUAUUCGUCGUCGUGCGAAGAUUAGUACGCAAAAAUCCGCGAAACUUAAAACCGCGUAUAAGAUAAAUUGUGAUACCUAGGGAGAUCGUAUAUCCCUGAAUCCUUGCAGAUUUCUAGGAGAGGGUGAAUGAGGUCUAGCGCACUCCUCUCUGGUAGAGGGGGAGGAGAAUAAGAGAGGCAAGCAAAAGGUUCUAGCCUAUGAACCAUUGAUUCCCUCCAAUUUAUAGAGUUCCGUAGUAAACUUAACCCUAAUGGAUCCUCCCCUAUUGGGUAUUGGAUCUCCAUCUAACUACCCAAGCAUCUUAUAUUAGUAGAUCUCUAUCCAAUAAUCUCUCAUGGGCUAAUAUUGGAUCUCGUUCAUGUGAUCCAAUAAUUCAGAGGGUUAUUGGAUAUCCAAUAAGAUAGGGGUUCCGGCGGAUAUUUCAUAUUCGAAUCUUUACUAAUCGCAAUGCUUACCAUAUGUGUGUAACCCUUUAGGCCCAAUAUCGAGCUGGCAAUGAGUCAUACCUAUUAGAACUCCUUCUGGCUCAGUGAAUUAUUAUCUCUAUAAUAACUCACUCGACUCAUCGACUGCGGACGUACUAUGCCACUACGUUGCAGUCCCCAAACGAUACAGGGGAAUAUAAUCCAUUGGACCUGUCAGUCCUCAAUUAUCGUAUAUUUAUAGUCCCUCAUCCAUAUAAUAUCCCAGAGACCGUAUACCGGGUAUGGUGUUGUCAAAUCUAUACGGUUUCUACUCGAGUCUCGCUCUAAUCAGAUUCUCUCGGAGAACUCUUUCUCUGUCAAUCUGAAUGACCCUAGCCAGGGAUUUGUCUGAGCAAGAACAUAUGUAAUAUUUCUCUCAUGAUACUGAGAGCGGAUGAUCCUUUAUCGACACUCAAUAGCGCUCGUACGGUUGACUAUCACUCCCGAUGACCGACUUUGCUAGAUCUAGGACAUCCAAACCUAUAAGUCUGGUAUCAAAGAAUUGAGCACUAAUACAAAACAUCGUUGGUGUCUCAAGUCUAAGGAUCAGAUACAUCACUAGGAUUACGGAAUCGCUGUAUGACAAUAAGACAUCAUCAACCAUCCAACAUUCCGGAAGCGGAUCAAUCAGUGAACUCAUUCUCCAAUGUGCACCUAUACUAUAUCCCUAGUGUUCCCACAAGAGCAGCUAUGAGACUAGUUGCAUCCAUCAUAUGGACGGGUAUACAGCACACCAGUAUGUCCGGUAACUUGAUGUCCCUCUCGAGUAAACAUAUGACCAGGAUUAUUUAGGAUCUGUGUUUAAAGGUGAAUUGAUCUCAUUAUUGUGAUUACAUUAUGAUCUGAUUCUCAUUGAACAGAUCCAAGGACAUCACAAUAUAUAUAUAUAUAUAUAUAUAUAUAAAGUGAUCAAUGCCAAAAUAUAAUAGGCAAAAAGAUUAUGUGUCAAGUCACAUGUGCCAUCACUCACGUGAUUGGCUUGUAGGGCACUUAUGACUAGCAGUAUCAGUAUCAAUCCGUCGUGGUGGCUUUCGUCGUAGCGGGUCCUGAUUCGAUCGUUGUUGCAGGUGUAUUGGUAUCUGUAUGUUGUGACGGCUUCCGUCAUAGUAGGUCUUGAUUCAACCGUCGUAGCGGGAGUAUCGGUGUUAGUCUAUUGUAGUGGGUCUUGAUUCGAUCGUCAAAGCGGGAGGAUGGACCCACUAUGAUGGGCUUUGGCUUGAUCAUGUAAGCGAGAGGUUAGACCCACUGCGAUGGGCUUUGGCUUGACUGCAUAAGCUAGAGAGUGGACCCACUGCGAUGGGCUUUGACUCGACCGCAUAAGCGGGAUGUUGAACUCACUGUGAUGGGCUUUGGCUCGAUAGCAUAAACGGGAGGAUGGAUCGGCUGUGGGUUUUGGCUCGGCCACAUAAGCGGGAGGAUGGAUCCGUUGAGGUGGCUUUUGUCGUAGCGGGUCUUGAUCUCGACUGCAUGGGUGGGAGGAUGGAUUCGCUAUGGCGGGUCUGGUCAAAUGGUGGAUGCUGGGGUCCAAGGCUGCUGAGGUUCGAGCCGCAGAGCUGUUCCUAGGAGGAGUCGGUGGGGCCCCCACGUUUGGUUUUGGUGGCGUUGCUGGCCUAGGUGGAGAGGGGACAUGGUAGUGCCAAGCUUCUCCGUAUCAAUUCUAAAGAUGCAUUGCAUAUUUUUCCUUUUCUUUUUAUUCCGUAAAAAAUUGGAACAAAUGAAUCUAUUGCAAAAUCUUUUGUUUGGUAAUCUAAUGUUGCUACCUUAACACGAAAAAUAUGAAAUUGAGACUUCAUUUGGCUUCUGGUGUGGGCAUACAGAGGUAGUAAGAUUUCUCUACAAGAAUAAGGCCAACGUUGGAGCUUGUGCUAUGUGUGAUACGGUUGUGAUCCAUUUUGUUGCUCAGAAAGGUCAUCUAGAGAUAAUUAGGAUCCUAUUAUCCUUUGAUGUCUCUGUCAAGGCCUGUUAACAUGAAAGGUUUGACCCCUCCUGCACUGUGUUGUCCAAGGAUCUCAUUUAGAGCUCAUCGAGUAUCUCAUUAAAAAUGUUGACCUAGGUGAAUCCUUUCUUUUUUCCUUCCCUCUCUCUCUUUGUUCUCCCCCUUUCACACGGUAGUUCACUCUCUCUCAUUUUUUUAUCUCCCCCUUCUGCUUUGGGAGGUUUCCCUCUAUGUUUUUCCCUCCCCCUACUGUCCGGAAGGUUGGGUCUUCUUUUGGGCUUGCCCCUUCUUCUGCUUCUUGGGCAGGUACUCGACCAACAGGGUGUGAGUAUGUUGGCUCGAUCGUAUGAGCGGGAGGAUCGGUAUCAAUCCGUCAUAGCGGGAGUAUUUGUUGGGAAAUCUUGGGGGCGACAUCACAUGUGCAGCGGAAGAACAGAAAACAAAAUCCCCAAUUUCUAAAGAUGUAUUCAUCGUCGUGUGAAGAUUAGUGCGCAAAAAUCCGCGAAACUUAAAACUGCGUAUAAGAUAAAUUGUGGUGCCUAAGGUGAUCGUAUAUUCCUGAAUCCCUGCAGAUCUCUAGGAGAGGGUGAAUGAGGUCAAGCGCACUCCUUUCUUGGAGAAGGGGAGGAGAAUAUGAGAGGCAAGCAAAAGGCUCUAGCCUAUAAACCACUUAUUCCCUCCAAUUUAUUGAGUUUCGCAGUAAACUUAACCCUAAUGUAUCCUCCCCUAUUGGGGAGGAUCUCCAUCCAACUACCCAAGCAUCUUAUAUUAGUAUAUCUAUAUCUAAUAAUAUCUCAUGAGCACUUAUUGGAUCUCUUCCAUGAGAUUUAAUAAUUCAGGGGCUUAUUAGAUAUCUAAUAAGAUAGGGGCCCCGGCGGAUAUUUCAUAUUCAAACCUCUACUCAUCACAAUGCCUACCAUAUGUGUGUGACUCUCUAGGCCCAAUAUCGAGCUGGCCAUGAGUCAUAAUUAUCAGAACUCAUUCUGGCUCAAUGAAUUAUUAUUUUAAUAAUAAUUCACUCGACUCAUCGACUGUGGACGUACUAGGCCAUUAUGCCGUAGUCCCUAGAUGAUAUAGGGGAAUCCAAUCCAUUAGACAUGUCAGUCCUCAUUUACCAUGUAACUUUAGUCCCUCAUUUAUAUAAUAUCACAGAGACCGUAUACCGGGUAUGGUGUUGUCAAACCCAUAUGGUUUCUACUCGAGUCUCGCUCUAAUCGGAUUCUCUCGGGGAACUCUUUCUCUCUCAAUUCGAAUGACCUUGGCUAGGGAUUUUUCUGAGCAAGAACAUAUGAGAUAUUCCUCAUGAUACUGAGAGCGGAUGAUCUUCUAUCGACACUCAAUAGCUCUCGUAAGGUUGACUGUCACUCCCGAUAACUAACUAUGCUAGAUUUGGGACAUCCAAACCUAUAAGUCUGAUAUUAAAGAGUGGAGCACUAAUACAAGAUAUCCUUGGUGUCUCUAGCCUAUGGACCAGAUACCCCACUGGGACUACGAAAUCGUUGUCUAACAAUAAGGCAUCAUCAGCCAUUCAGCAUUCCGAAAGUGGAUCAAUCAGUAAACUCAUUCUCCAAUGAGCACAUGUACUAUAUCCCUAGUGUCCCCAAACGAGCAGCUAUAAGAUCAGCUGCAUGCAUCAUAUGGACAGGUAUACAUCACACUAAUCUGUCUUGUUUUCUCGAUGUCCCUCUCGAGUAAACCUAUGGCCAGGAUUAUUUAGGAUAUGUGUUUAAAGGUGAACCGAUCUCAUUAUCGUGAUCUCAUCACGAUCAGGAUUAUUUAGGAUCUGGAGUAUCGAUAUCGGUCUGUUGUGACGGCUUCCGCUAUAGAAGGUCUUGAUUCAACCGUCGUAGCGAGAGUAUCGGUGUCAGUCUGUCGUUGCGGGCCUUGAUUCGAUCGUCGUUGCGGGAGGAUGGACCCACUAUGAUGGGCUUUGGCUUGAUCGCGUAAGCAGGAGGUUAGACCCACUACGAUGGGCUUCGACUCGACUGCGUAAGCGAGAGAGUGGACCCACUACAAUGGACUUUGGCUCGACCGCGUAAGCGAGAGAGUGGACCCACUACAAUGGGCUUUGGCUCUACUCCUUGUAACAUUCACGAGAUUACUUGACCAGGUACAGAAGAAAUUGCAAAUGAGAAUCGACGCUUUGGGGAAGUGCUUGUAAACAAAACGGGAGAAAGCUCAGAAGAUCUUUGUUUCGACAUGAAUGGCUCGUCAGGCAGUUUGGAAGCCACCAGAGCCCAGCUUACGGAUUUCGACCUACCACUAUCAGGCUUGAUGGAGAACUUCAGUGGAAGAUACUUAUGACUUUACUAAGAAGAUGUGGUCCUUUUUCUAAUUAAUAAAAAAUUUACUAUUGUAAAGACAAGGAUUUGAAUUAAAAGAUUAAGAAAAAAAAAAACAUAAAAAGGAAGUUUAUUAUAUAAAUAAUGGAUAAUAAAUUACUGAUUUUUUAUUCUUUUUAUAAAUAUGGGAUGUGACGCUGCAUACAAAACGUCAAUGAGUUCUGCAAAUAAAUAGGACUGUGCUAAAGAAAAUAAAUCGUGGAGAAGAGCUUCUUGACUCGAGAUACUACAAAGGAUUUAAUAGCUUCGAACAAGCAAGAGAAAUUUUGCGAAGCGUAAGAAUCUUAGCAGUAAUGGUUAGUCUGUGAUUCUUAUUAAACGGUAUAGAUUCGAAUGUUUGUGCACUUGAUGUAGUUUUUGUAAUUUAGUAAUCCCGUGAACUCCAGGCUUUGAUUUAUGCUCUCUAAUUUAUAUCGGUCAUCUAAUGUGUCACAAACCAUGCAGAGAAAUACUUCUUGGAGAGGCGUUGUGGUAUCAGAUCGAAGUGCAGAGGAAACUGCAGGAGCAGCUCGUGGUACAGAAGAAAUUGCAAAUGAGAAUCGAGGCUUUGGGGAAGUGCUUGUAAGCAAUACGGGAGAAAGCUCAGAAGAUCUUUGUUUCGACAUGAAUGGCUCGUCAGGUAGUUUGGAAGCCACCAGAGCCCAGCUUACGGAUUUCGACUUGCCACUAUCAGGCUUGAUGGAGAACUUCAGUGGAAGAUACUUAUGACUUUACCAAGAAGAUGUGGUCCUUUUUCUAAUUAAUAGAAAAUUUACUAUUGUAAAGACAAGGAUUUGAAUUAAAAGAUUAAGAGAAAAAAAACAAAAAAAGGAAGUUUAUUAUAUAAAUAA